Molecule: non-coding RNA, 294 nt
Organism: Vicia faba (fava bean)
Lineage: Eukaryota; Viridiplantae; Streptophyta; Magnoliopsida; Fabales; Fabaceae
Source: the annotation of a GenBank genome assembly
AUGAAGAGAAUCAGUUGUUACUGUUGCGUUGAAAACAUAAUAUUAUUGUUAAUUUUCACCACAAAACAGAGAAGUAAAACCAUUGACAGAUUUAUGUUGUUGUUGUUGUUAGCUUGUUUUAAUGAAGAAGAAGAAAAGUGGAGAUGGAAGAGAGUGAUAUUCGGAAAACAUAGAAAGUUUAGCGUGAAAACAAAACAAUUGAGUGGCUGGUUUUGUAAGGCUUCUAGGGUUUCUUGGAACUCUCAUUAUGGAUCGAUUUGGGCCUUAUGGAAAAUCCGCCCCAAAUUCCACUAA